AUGCAGGCCGCCGUCGCCUUGAGCCAGAGCCAGGCGUCCCUUCUCAUCCGGCGGCUCCCAAGGCCUUACCACGGCGGCGGGCCGGAGCCGGAUGAUGGCGUGCUGCUGCUAGGACGACGAGGCGUGUCGCUCCCGCGGCUGCGGCGCGCCUGUUGCUCCGCGAGCCUAUCCGUCGGUACCGGCGCCGGCUCCGGCGCCGGCAGUGAGCAUGUUCCCGUAUUCCCAAGACAAAAAACAUGGGAUCCUUACAUGCUUCUUGGUGUUGAUCGUGAUGCAUCUGAAGAAGAGAUCAAUAGUGCAAGAAACUUCCUUCUUCAACAAUACGCUGGGUAUGAAGAAAGCGAAGAGGCAAUUGAAGGUGCUUAUGAUAAGAUAAUGAUGAAAAGCUACUCACACCGUAAGAAAUCGAAAAUCAACCUGAAAAGCAAAUUAAAGAAGCAAGUGGAAGAAUCUCCAUCAUGGGUUAAGUCACUGCUUGGACACUUCGAGGUGCCAUCGAUGGAUGUCGUGUCAAAAAGGUUUGCUCUCUUUGGCUUUAUUGCUGGGUGGAGCAUCGCAACUUCUGCUGAGACUGGACCUACCUUCCAGCUUGCAUUGGCACUCGUCUCAUGCAUAUACUUCCUCAACGACAAGAUGAAAAACCUUGCCAGGGCGUCUGCUACAGGGCUUGGGCUCUUUGCGGGUGGCUGGAUAGUAGGUUCGCUGGUAGUCCCAGUGAUCCCGGCAUUUAUUUUCCCGCAUACUUGGUGUCUGGAGCUCCUUACUUCGCUGGUCGCUUAUGUAUUUUUAUUCUUGGGUUGCUCUCUCGUCAAGUGA
Molecule: ribosomal RNA, 816 nt
Filed under: Triticum aestivum (bread wheat)
Lineage: Eukaryota; Viridiplantae; Streptophyta; Magnoliopsida; Poales; Poaceae
Description: partial small subunit ribosomal RNA
Source: RNAcentral